ACACAGAAAACAAAUUUAUGUGGGGAGGGUUAGCUUAGUGGUAGAACACAUACUUAACAUGCACGAGGUCCUGGGUUCAAUCCCCAGUAUCUCCAUUAAAAUAAAAUAAAUAAAUAAUAAACCUAACUACCUCCCCC
This is a non-coding RNA of Vicugna pacos (alpaca), 137 nucleotides long. The record is from RefSeq and is a predicted model, not a curated record. Lineage: Eukaryota; Metazoa; Chordata; Mammalia; Artiodactyla; Camelidae.